UACGGAGGAUGCGAGCGUUAUCCGGAUUUAUUGGGUUUAAAGGGUGCGUAGGCGGCUUUUUAAGUCAGCGGUGAAAUUUUGCAGCUUAACUGUAACAGUGCCGUUGAUACUGGGGAGCUAGGAUUUGGUUGCUGUGGGUGGAAUGUGUGGUGUAGCGGUGAAAUGCUUAGAGAUCACACAGAAUAUCGAUUGCGAAGGCAGCUCACAAAGCCAAGAUUGACGCUGAGGCACGAAAGUGUGGGGAUCAAACAGG
This 253-nucleotide ribosomal RNA is filed under the name uncultured bacterium. Its description in RNAcentral is "partial 16S ribosomal RNA". It matches the Rfam family "Bacterial small subunit ribosomal RNA", at positions 524 to 776 of the family's 1533-position model. The record is from RNAcentral.